Molecule: transfer RNA, 91 nt
Filed under: Pirellula sp. SH-Sr6A
Lineage: Bacteria; Pseudomonadati; Planctomycetota; Planctomycetia; Pirellulales; Pirellulaceae
Description: tRNA-Ser
Rfam family: tRNA
About the family: Transfer RNA (tRNA) molecules are approximately 80 nucleotides in length. Their secondary structure includes four short double-helical elements and three loops (D, anti-codon, and T loops).
Source: RNAcentral
UGGAGAGGUGGCUGAGUGGUCUAAAGCACCGGAUUGCUAAUUCGGCGUAGGGUUAACUCCUUACCGCAGGUUCGAAUCCUGUCCUCUCCGU